AUGUCGAUCCCGACGUGGUUGUCGCUGAGGUCCCUGAACUCGUUGUUCUGCAUGGUGUCCAGCUCCACCGCGAAGACGCGGUUGGUGGCGUUGCCGUUGUUGCUGGUGUUGAGGAGGCCGAGGUACUGCGCCGCCAUGGCGCCCGACAAGUUUGCGGUCGGGGCGACGAAGAGCGUGACGCCGUUGGCGCUCACGUCGGGGUAG
Molecule: ribosomal RNA, 204 nt
Filed under: Triticum aestivum (bread wheat)
Lineage: Eukaryota; Viridiplantae; Streptophyta; Magnoliopsida; Poales; Poaceae
Description: partial small subunit ribosomal RNA
Source: RNAcentral